RNAcentral lists this long non-coding RNA (253 nucleotides) under Solanum tuberosum (potato). RNAcentral describes it as "long non-coding RNA (STUB_LNC005369)". Lineage: Eukaryota; Viridiplantae; Streptophyta; Magnoliopsida; Solanales; Solanaceae. The record is from RNAcentral.
AGAAGGAAAAGAAGGAUAAGAGAUACACUGUGAAUCCCUACAAAGUCGAAGCGAUCAUGCAUGCUACAUAUAAGAACGGUUGAUGAAGCUAUCCAAACUCAGAAAAAAACAAAGAACAAAAACUUGGCUUCAUGAAGCCAAUGAACCAGAAAACUAUAAAACCAAGGAACUAGAUACAGGGGUCAGUUCAUCAUCUGGAAGUGGGGUGAGUUCAUCAUUUGGAAGUGAGGUUAAUUCAUCAUUUGGAAGUGAG